UACAGAGGUCUCAAGCGUUGUUCGGAUUCAUUGGGCGUAAAGGGCGCGUAGGCUGCGGGGUAAGUCGGGUGUGAAAUCUCAGAGCUCAACUCUGAAACUGCACUCGAUACUGCUUUGCUUGAGGACUGGAGAGGAGACUGGAAUUCACGGUGUAGCAGUGAAAUGCGUAGAUAUCGUGAGGAAGACCAGUGGCGAAGGCGGGUCUCUGGACAGUUCCUGACGCUGAGGCGCGAAGGCCAGGGGAGCAAACGGG
Molecule: ribosomal RNA, 253 nt
Filed under: uncultured bacterium
Lineage: Bacteria
Description: partial 16S ribosomal RNA
Rfam family: Bacterial small subunit ribosomal RNA
Source: RNAcentral